GCCCAUGUAGCUCAGUUGGCAGAGCACAUCCUUGGUAAGGAUGAGGUCACCGGUCCGAUUCCGGUCAUGGGCU
RNAcentral lists this transfer RNA (73 nucleotides) under soil metagenome. It matches the Rfam family "tRNA". Rfam says of the family: Transfer RNA (tRNA) molecules are approximately 80 nucleotides in length. Their secondary structure includes four short double-helical elements and three loops (D, anti-codon, and T loops). The record is from RNAcentral.